Molecule: ribosomal RNA, 455 nt
Filed under: uncultured copper smeltery bacterium D101
Lineage: Bacteria
Description: bacterial SSU rRNA
Rfam family: Bacterial small subunit ribosomal RNA
Source: RNAcentral
GCCCUUAGAGUUUGAUCCUGGCUCAGGACGAACGCUGGCGGCGUGGAUUAGGCAUGCAAGUCGAGCGACGGAUAGCCUUCGGGCUAUUACGGAGCGGCGAACGGGUGAGUAACACGUGAACAAUUUGUCCUCACGUUCCGGAUAAUUGGGAGAAAUCCCUUGUAAUACGGGCGAGGGUCUUGAUGGGGCAUCCCGUUGAGAAGGAACGCGCAAGCGGCGCGAGGAGAUGUUCGCGGCCUAUCAGGUAGUUGGUGGGGUAAUGGCCUACCAAGCCGACGACGGGUAGCUGGUCUGAGAGGAUGGUCAGCCACAUUGGGACUGAGACACUGCCCAGACUCCUACGGGAGGCUGCAGUCGAGAAUCUUGGGCAAUGCACGAAAGUGUGACCCAGCGACGCCGCGUGAAGGAUGAAGGCCCUCUGGGUUGUAAACUUCUUUUAGGGGGAAGAAUCAAUG